Molecule: non-coding RNA, 254 nt
Organism: Fukomys damarensis (Damara mole-rat)
Lineage: Eukaryota; Metazoa; Chordata; Mammalia; Rodentia; Bathyergidae
Source: Rfam
GGGUAUGAAGGCAUUCAGGUUGCAACAUCUGUUACCCCAUUGAUUGCCCAGGUUGAUUUGGCUGAUCUGGCUGACUAGGUGGGUUUUUCCUUCCUCCCUCACUGUUCCAUGUGCAUCCCUCCUUAGUGAGACCAUCCCUGAUAAAGAAGGACUUACUUGGUCAAGGGUCUAUGAGUAGCUGCCCUUCCCUGUUAGAACUUCGAAACAAGCUCUCUAGUUUAAAAAAAUCACAGGUCUUUUUUUUUUUUUUUUUU